GGCUGGAUAGCUCAGCGGUAGAGCGCCUCUCCAUUAUGUUCACUUGCACCCUAGCCAGAGGUCGCUCCUCUGGGUACCUUAGGUCGCUCCGACGGGUCGUUUUGGGGGGCGUAAGAAGAACUGCUGGCUUAGAGGACGUCUCAGGUUCGAAUCCUGAUUCGGCCA
Molecule: non-coding RNA, 165 nt
Organism: Hyaloscypha variabilis F
Lineage: Eukaryota; Fungi; Ascomycota; Leotiomycetes; Helotiales; Hyaloscyphaceae
Source: the annotation of a GenBank genome assembly